CCAUACUGCUCCUCCUGAAUCCGAGUUUCGACUUCCCGACGGACCCUCCUCUCCAGCACCCCUGAAUUGACUUUUACCGGGGAGGCUGAGGAUUACUGUCACUUUAAAUGAAGACAGGUUGUAGUACCAGAAAUGGCCUCUGACUUGCCAUGUGACCACAAAGUCAGGAAGUUAAGUGUCAUGUGACCAGAAAAAGUCAGGAAGUAUAACAAGCAUGGCAGCAGGACUUGUUAUUGUCUCCUCUGUCAAUCUAGUUGAAUCUGCAACCAUCUUAUGCUUUUGAUAGCAUCGUCGUUUUACUCUUUACACGAUGUCAAUAAACCUGUGGACAAUGGAGAGCUGUCUUCAGAGUCGUGAUGUCACUAAAGAGUUAUCUAACUGCCAAGUAGUAUCCAGCGUUCAUAUACCGAGGGCAGUACAGUAAUGCCGAGUAGUAUCCAGCGUUCAUAUACCGAGGGCAGUACAGUAAAAACCUGAAAGGGGACGAACCCGGAAGUGAUACGUCACACCGAGAACAGCGAUAGCAGCGCUCCAUACGGCCGCCAUACAAAGCCCUUCAAACAAUGAUUCAAACAGCGAUAUAAGCGAUAGAUCGAGCGCAAGGGAGGAGAUCCAAGUUUUUGAAGAGUUGGAGGAAGAGGAGGAGGUUGGAAUUUUAUGUUGGACCUAACAUGUAUUAGCCGGAGGCUAAUCAGGAUUCAAACAAUGUGCCCAGACGACCUGACAUGGAAUGUAGACAAGACCCAUCGAGAUUACAAGAUUGGUGUACUUGUGGUAAUUGCCAGCAAAUGCCUACAGCAGUUGAAUGUGUUUGCUGCCAUGAAAUUGAAGAAGUAGUGGCUGUACGUCGACAAGGAGAGGAACACUUCAAUCAGGUGCUUGACUGCAUCACCGACCAUCCUGGACUCAAUGCUGUGUGCCUAGACCCAUAUGGAUUCAAGGUGGCAUGGAUGACCUACAAGCAGCAGUACAAAGGCAAGGCAUUUGAUGGGCCACAGGUUGCCAAGUAUAUGCAUAUUGUCUACAGACAAUUGAUGCGCUGGUGCUGGAAGUUUCUUGGUCCCAGCAUGUGCAGUGUCUUGUAUCAGGGCACAUUUUCCACCACCAGGAGAAGAGGAGUCAGCUGUAUUCAAAGAGUUUUGUGUUUCACAGAGAAAUGUUCCAGAACUGUGAUUUGGACUGGUUUUAGAGUGGUUAAUGUGGACAUGGUGUCUAUUAUAACAAAAUAUUGUAAUAAAAAUAAACAAAUGAGGACAACUGAAUACACGGAAUGUGAUUCUUUAUUUGCUGAGGAAUCUAGUAUGGUCUUCGGCAAUAACAAUUGACUUGUCCGGUCUGUUCACUGCUCCUGUAAGAAAUUAUCUCCACAUAUCACUUAUCUCCCAGACCGCCCCCCCUCUUUGCUUGGCUAUCCGGCCCCUCACAUGGUAUUAGCCGGAAUUACAACUAGCUAACGAUAGCUCCAACAUAUUCAUAGUUAGAGUAGGCGAUUAAUGUAUUUCUUGUUAUUUGUGCUUUUUCUGUCUCUCUCUCCCUCUUUUCUUUUGUUCCCCCAUAACCCCUUCCUGUUCGCCGAUUUCUUCUAAUAAACGAGGGACGUUGAAUGAUCUCAGUGGAUGUAUGUAAUUCUCCUAUGUUAUACAUCAAAACUGUUCAGAUCAUUCGGACAAUCAGAUCCCCAUUCUCUGUGUCAAGCAGCUGAACGGGACAGGUUAAAAAAAAAAAAAAAAACAGUGGUGAUAAAGUAGUACCUGAGGUAUUUGUGAAAAAAAUAAUUUAAUGAUCAGGCUUCAAUUGUCCAUUUAAGGGGGGGGGUUACAAAUUUUGGCUGAGGCAGUAAACAGUCCGAAAUAAUUUGUAUCCCCUUUGUCUAGAAAAAAAAAAAGAUUUUUUUUCAUAAUAACAGUGGUGAUAGAGUGGUAAUUUUCACUGAAGUACUUGUAAAAUAAAUCAUUUGAUGGUCGGGCUUCAUCUGUCCAUUUGAGGAAGAGGGAUACAAAUUCUGUCAGAGCAAUGUCCAGUCUGAAAUAACAGAGGACCCCCCCCCCACACACACACACACACACACACAUUACUUAUGAGUUAGGUCGACUUAAACAAUUAAUUAAAGCCGGAAAAGAACCACAGUUGUAUAUUUUGGAAAUCGAUGUUGAUUAAAUUGGAGAAACUUCAUACAGGGCUUCAAUGACAGUAAUAACAAUUAUAGGUCAUCCUAUGAGUAAAACAGUAAAACAAUGCUUUUUGUUAUGUUCAGUGUGUAUGUUACGUUAUACGGCAGAAAAAAAAAGUUUUUUUGACGGAUGGGCCAUGUUUUAUAACCUUGUAAAUAACUACGUCGCCAAAACACAAAAAUCAAGCAAAUCAGUGCAACACAGUUGCUCCGCCUUCCCUAAAUGCAUGCGCGCUCCCGCGGUGAACGGAUAGAAUUUUUGACGGGGGUUACUACAUUGGCAGGACACCGUCACUGCUAUGUGUGGGGUGGGCGGGUGUGUAAAUAUUCUUGCGUGCGGAAGCAUAACCCACUCUAAGCUUCCUGCGCCAAAAUAAAAGCACGUAUCACAAAACAAAAGUCAACAUUAAAAAAAAAAAAAAAAAACAGACACAGGCGUCGUAGAAGUCGAAAUCACGUAAAUCGGGUCCGUCAUAACCCGGGAAUACCUGUAUACUUUAUGCACAAAAGAAGGAUAUACCAAUUACAUAGAUAGUAUAAGCAGAUAGUUGCUUCCUGGUCACAUCUGCAGCCAGCUCCCGCCUUUUUAUCCCUUGUUGGCUCAAAUAUGUGUGUACAAUCCAUAAUUUAACCCUCACAAGAAUAGUAUAUUGCCUGUUAAAGUGUGAGUCUUUGUUGCUGAGGCUUAUGAAAGUUAUUUUGCGCGCGAGGCAGAUGGCAGGGACAGAUUUUCCCUCCUCAAACAACAUCCAUUCGACAUCCUAUUCCUUACCACUGCUUAAAUUAUGAGGUAAGAAUGGAAGCAUAAUGACUGUUGUCAGUUAAAUCCACUGCAGAGAUUAACAAUUGAGUGCAGCGUAAAUAUAUUAAGAAAGUGGGGCACAGAAAGGUUCACUGCUCCAAUUAUGAAUAGCCAGCGGCACAGUGAUGCUUUAACGUAAAGAGACAAGCAGACACCAGUACAUGCUCACAGGGGGUCAAAGAUUAAACUUUCUCAAUGCCAGUAACCCCUACAAAAUAAUCUUUGUUGCCAAGACCUAAUAUCUGAAGGGACAUUUAUGACACUCCAUCUGCUUCCAUGUGUCCCUUCGCGUCCCCAUUCUAAUUUGGAAAUAGCUUCAAUGAGAGACAAGGGCGUAGGUUUGCAUAAGGGCGUUAGGGACUACCAACUUUUCAGUAUGCUCAAAAUGCCCCCACCAAUUUUUAAGCAACGUUAUUUGCAUUUCUAAUGAGUUAAGUUUGAUUGGUAAUUUUAGAUUGUCUUCCCAUUUAUUGUAAGCUUAGAAUUGACCCUAGCAUUACUUAGUGAAUUAUUUUCAUUAUGUGAAUGUGCUGGUCCAAUUUUUCCCCCUUCAAACGCACGUUUAAUUGGCUGAUUGCUUGACCCCCGGCAACCCGCCCCCCCCCCCCCCCACACACACACAGCCCCGACAGAAAUCAAACAUGUCGACAAGAGGAGGGAUAUUAGAAUUUUUUUUUUCGGCCAGCAGCAGCAGUCACUGUAAUUAAUGUAAAAAGACAUCUAUGUUGUGGAGGUGGGAAACACACCACUAAGGCCAUGACUACAUGUAGCAGGGUAUCUCGCGAAAAGAAAAACCUUAACUUACCUUCAUUACGGUUUGACCUAUCAUCCAGACGCACACGCACAUUUUGGGCAUUAAAAAAGAUGUUUUUUUAAAAAAUUUUAAUGAAGAUUUGCGAAAUCUGUGUUUGAUGCGUCGUCAUGUGAAUAUUACUAAACGGAGUUUUGUAUUUUUUUAACAGUCGAAACGUCACUGCCUGCGAUUUAAAAUGUUCAAACGUCGUAUAUGCGACCCGUGUUUACAUUUAGAGACUGUGCUUAUGCUCACAGAGGAUUUGGAAUUUUACAACAUCACAUCUGCAUUGCGAAUUGAUUAAAGACAAAUACAAUGCACAUAUAUAAACACAUAAGCAGACGUGUGCGGUAGCAACCUGUGCUAAUGAUUCAUGAAGAUCUCAGAAGGCAAGGGCUAAACGAACAAAAUACGAUCGGCGAAGUAUUUAUUUAUUUAUUUAUUUUAAUAUGACAGAACAUUUGCCCAGUACCAACAUUUAGGUGAUUAGUUGAUUUUUUUCUUUUUUAUCCCAGAUAAUUGCUUUAGAGGUUGUUUUAAUUACCUGACAUGUUUUGGCGAACACUUCCCCAUUCAUCAGAGUCACUGUUGUUGGUGUGACGCGUCUUUAUCAGCUGAUGGAUGAAGGCAUGACUUGCCUGUCAGAUUGACAGGCGAGUCACGCCCUCUGCUGACUAUUCACUCUUCCAGGAUGCUGGGCUAGGUAGUAGAGAGCAUGUAAGUCCCUGUUGAUGGUCCUCGGGCCCUGCUUGCGGAUCUCAAUGGCCUCCCUGAUCCAGCGCUGAUGUUUUUUUUUUUUCUUCGGUGCGGAUGACUCUAGCCUUUUCCCAGUCCAUAGUUGUGUGGUUUUCCCUUUUUCAGUGAUCGGUGAUGGCUCCUGUUGUGCUUGUUCUUUUAUUGACCUUAUUUGUCUUAUUGUUGUUGUCUCCUUCUCACACUCCUUCUUGUGUUCUGUUUCUCUUGUAAUAAAACUCGUCCCUGUCUCCCCGAUAUAUGAUUUAUUGCAUGAUUUGCAUGGAAUUUCAUAUAUGGAGUAACAUUUGUUUUCUGGGUGGAUUUUGUCCUUUGGAUGGACCAAUAUCUGGCGGAGUGUUGUGUGUAGUUUGACCGAUGUGUUUAUGUUGUAUUUUUCAUGACUCCUUGAAUACGUUCCGUGACUCCUCUCACAUACGGCAACGUCACCACUUCUCUGUGUUCUUGUUUUCUUUCCCCCGUGUUGUGUUUUUCUUUUUUUUAACCUGUCCAACACCUUUUUAUAUUGCCCACUGUGAAUAUUGACACAUUUUUAGUGCAUGUUGUUUUUUUCCUCCUGUGUUCUGUCAUCCGUGAUUAUUGUCAUACGUUCAUGUAAUGUUCUGACUACUGACAGUUUGUGGAUAGUGGGGUGUUCAGAUGUCAAUAAGAGGUAUUGGUCGAUGUGUGUGGGUUUCCUGUGUACUUUUAUUUUGGUGUCCCCGUUGUCUGUGUGAUGUACGUUUAUGUCCAGAAAAGGACUGAUCUGUUUCCCUUUCAUAGGUGAAUUCAAUGCUGCCGGUGGUGUCUAUGGUUUUGAGGUGGUCCGUGAGUCGUUCUGUAUGUCCUGUUUUUUUUACUUUUUACUGACAGGUGAGUCAUGCCUUCAUCCAUUGGCUGAUAAAGACGCGUCACACCAACAUCAAUGACUCCCUGAUGAAGGCGAAAGUGCUCGCCAAAACAUGUCAGAUAUUUCAACAACUUAAAACAAUUGUCUGGGAUAAAAGAAAAAUUCAACUAAUCUAUAAGUUUAAACAAAAUGAACUCAACAUUUACAACAUUUAAGUGAGUGUUACGGACACUUCAAUACCGACGCAGAUUUGAAAUUGAAUAUUAAAAUGAAUACACAGUUUGAGUGUAUGAGUGGGUAAAAUAAUUGACGUCUAUGGUUCUAAUAUUGACUUUGUCAAUAAUAACACACAGCAGUUAUUCAGGAGAAGAAAGAAAUACAAAAACAUAAAUGAUAAAAAAAAAAAAAGGGCAAAUAUAUUUGUAUAGCACAAUUCAACGCAAGGCUAUUCAAAGUGCUUUACAUCACAUGAGAAUCCACGGGCAGAGAUGAAAUGAUUCGUAAAAAUCACAUUAAAUCAAAAGAAAGUUAAAACAAAGACAACUGAAAAAGGGAAUAAAAUUAUAAAUAAAAAUCACAUUAAAACAUGAAUAGUUAAACUAAUAAUAGUUGAAAUCAGAAAUGGGAAUAAAAGUAAAAAAAAAAGUAUAAAAAGCAAUUAGCUUGAAAUUUGAAAUAUAUAGAUAAACAAAAGUGUUUUUAGCCCUGAUUUAAAGGAGGUAACAGUUUGAGCACACUUCCGAUUUUGAGGUAACUUGUUCCAGAGGUGAGGAGCAUAAUACCUGAAUGCUGCCUCACCCUGCUUGGUUCUUGUUCUUGGAACAUACAGGCAGGGGUGCUGCCAGGGAUUUUUGGCCCCAUGAAAAGAUAUCAAUUUGGGCCCCACCAAAAGUGCCCGGACACACACACACAUUUAGAGUAUCAACUAUGUAAUUUCCUGCAUUUUCUGCAUUAAUUUAAAAUGAAAAUAUAUUUAUGUAAACAUACAGCGUAUAGAGCAGACCCGGCUGCAGAAAGAAGUUACAGGGGGGCAUUACAUUUUUUAGGGGGGGCACACUUCGUCAACGUAAAUUUAGUCUGAACAGUGGCGUUAUUACCCGUACAUUACUACAUCAGUGCACUGAAACAUUUUCUGUCACUGAAGUCACAAGUCGUAGUUCAUCGUAAAAUCAUUAAGACAAACGAAAACAUACCUGUCAACCCGAGGCCUUUGGCAAUCUUACAAAUAGUGACGUAUGCCCUUACAAAUAGGUGACUAAUCUUACAACCUUGUAUAUAGCGUGCAAUACGAAACAAACAUAAAACUCAAUUUUUAAAAUAAUAUGAAUUUAUUGGUAAUAUUGUAACAUAUAACCUGGUGCAAUCAAAGAACAAUCAAUAUCUUCAGCUACAUCAUGAUUACUAAAAUUUAACAGUAACUUUUAAUAUAAAUGUAUGUAGCACUUUUGGCAAUUUCUAUAAAUGUCUUGAUGGCUGCACUUCAUGGCACUUCAGCUAGCAAUUCAAUUUGACUUGAAGGUAGUUCGUUACUGUGUCCAAUUAUAA
This is a long non-coding RNA of Corythoichthys intestinalis (scribbled pipefish), 6892 nucleotides long. RefSeq lists it as uncharacterized. The transcript is spliced from 3 exons. NCBI's taxonomy places the organism in Eukaryota, Metazoa, Chordata, Actinopteri, Syngnathiformes, Syngnathidae. The record is from RefSeq and is a predicted model, not a curated record.